CAAUUCAAUUAGUUAAAACUAGUCCAAUAAACAAAUGCAUUUGGGACAACUGGAUAUUCAUAUGCAAAAGGUGUAUCAUAUCCAUUAACUCAGAUUAGCUCAAAGUGGAUAAUAGACCUAAAUAUAAGAAUUAAAUUAUACGACUCUUAGAAAAUGUUAAGAGUCCGAGUCCUGGUUAGGCAAUAGUUUCUUAAAUAGGACACCAAAAUAUAAGUAACAAAACAAAAAUUGAUGGAUUGGACUUCACCAGAAUUAAAACUCUUGUGCUUCAAAGAACACUUUCUAGGAAGUGAAAAUACAACUCACAGAAUGGGAGAAAACAUUUGUAAAGCAUCCAUCUGAUUAGGUACUUGCAUUCAGAGUAUAUGUAGAACCAUUACAGCUUAACAAUAAGAAGACAACCCAAUUUUAAAAUGGGCAAAGCAUUCAAAAAAAUUCCUCCAGUGAGGUAUUUGUCCAAAUCCCUAGAUCUGUUCCUAGUUUUGUUGACUAUUUUCAUUAUGAAAGUGGUUUUUUUAAAUUUUAUCAAAUGGCAAACAAGCAAAUAAAAACAUUCUCAUGAUCAUUGGUUUUUAGGGAAAUGCAAAUAAUCAAACCACAUUGAGAUAGUACUUCACACCCAUUAGAAUGGCUAAAAUAAAAAAAAUUUUUAAAGUGUUGGUAGUGGGAUUUUAAAAUGGUUCAUCACUUUGGCAAACAGUGUGGCAUCUCCUCAACAUGUUAAACAUGAAGAUAAUGAUGUCCCAGCAAUUACAUUCCUAGAUAUAGAGCCAAUUGAACUGAAAAUAUAUAUCCACAAAAGAACUUACAUGAAACCCCAUAUCAGAAUUAUUCAUAAUAUUCAAAGGUUGAAAUUACUCAAGUGUCAAUCAACUAAUGAAUAAACAAAACAUGAUAUGCCCAUACAGUAGAAUAUUAUUUGGCCAUAGAAAUACAACAUGAACAAACCUUGAAAAGAUCAUGUUAAGUCAAAGAAGCUAGACAUAAAAGCUACACAUUGUAUGACUAGAGUUAUAUGAAAUGUUUAAAAUAUGCAAAUUCAUAGAGAUAGAAGUGAAGUAGUG
Molecule: long non-coding RNA, 1064 nt
Filed under: Marmota monax (woodchuck)
Lineage: Eukaryota; Metazoa; Chordata; Mammalia; Rodentia; Sciuridae
Source: RNAcentral